Molecule: ribosomal RNA, 498 nt
Filed under: uncultured bacterium
Lineage: Bacteria
Description: partial 16S ribosomal RNA
Rfam family: Bacterial small subunit ribosomal RNA
Source: RNAcentral
AUUGAACGCUGGCGGCAUGCUUUACACAUGCAAGUCGAACGGUAACAGGCCGCAAGGUGCUGACGAGUGGCGAACGGGUGAGUAAUGCAUCGGAACGUGCCCAGUCGUGGGGGAUAACGCAGCGAAAGCUGUGCUAAUACCGCAUACGAUCUAUGGAUGAAAGCGGGGGACCGUAAGGCCUCGCGCGAUUGGAGCGGCCGAUGUCAGAUUAGGUAGUUGGUGGGGUAAAGGCCCACCAAGCCAACGAUCUGUAGCUGGUCUGAGAGGACGACCAGCAACACUGGGACUGAGACACGGCCCAGACUCCUACGGGAGGCAGCAGUGGGGAAUUUUGGACAAUGGGCGCAAGCCUGAUCCAGCAAUGCCGCGUGCAGGAAGAAGGCCUUCGGGUUGUAAACUGCUUUUGUACGGAACGAAACGGUCUGGGUUAAUACCCUGGGCUAAUGACGGUACCGUAAGAAUGAGCACCGGCUAACUACGUGCCAGCAGCCGCGGUAA